UACGUAUGGAGCAAGCGUUAUCCGGAUUUACUGGGUGUAAAGGGAGCGUAGGCGGCAUACCAAGCCUGAUGUGAAAACCCGGGGCCCAACCCCGGGAGUGCAUUGGGAACUGGCAAGCUAGAGUGUCGGAGAGGCAGGCGGAAUUCCUAGUGUAGCGGUGAAAUGCGUAGGUAUUAGGAGGAACACCAGUGGCGAAGGCGGCCUGCUGGACGAUGACUGACGCUGAGGCUCGAAAGCGUGGGGAGCAAACAGG
RNAcentral lists this ribosomal RNA (253 nucleotides) under uncultured bacterium. Its description in RNAcentral is "partial 16S ribosomal RNA". It matches the Rfam family "Bacterial small subunit ribosomal RNA", at positions 524 to 776 of the family's 1533-position model. The record is from RNAcentral.